UACGGAGGAUGCGAGCGUUAUCCGGAUUUAUUGGGUUUAAAGGGUGCGUAGGCGGGAUGCCAAGUCAGCGGUAAAGAUGCGGUGCUCAACGCCGUCGAGCCGUUGAAACUGGCGUUCUUGAGUGGGCGAGAAGUAUGCGGAAUGCGUGGUGUAGCGGUGAAAUGCAUAGAUAUCACGCAGAACUCCGAUUGCGAAGGCAGCAUACCGGCGCCCUACUGACGCUGAGGCACGAAAGCGUGGGUAUCGAACAGG
Molecule: ribosomal RNA, 252 nt
Filed under: uncultured bacterium
Lineage: Bacteria
Description: partial 16S ribosomal RNA
Rfam family: Bacterial small subunit ribosomal RNA
Source: RNAcentral